CUGGGCAACCUGAGCUCGAGUGUUGGCGUUAGCUGGGCGCGCGGAGUCGAUCGGAGUCGAUCGGAGUCGAUCGGAGUAGGAGAGUCUACCCAACCAGUCACUACCCCUUCGUCCGCGGGUCUCGGGGAGCAGACUGGCGAUGCGGCUGUGUGAUGCUGUGUAAAUAGGAGCUAGCCCUGACAAUCAGUCAUUCGUGAUCCAACAAAACAGAAAACUGUCCAAAGAUACUCUCAGCCUGAACUUUCCAGAAGUGCUCCAAGAAGCAUUAGUUAUCAAACGUCACACUAACAACAGGUUCAGCCAUCCCCACCUCGUUCCAGAAGAAAACUGACAAAUACAACCCUUCCUGAGUGCCAGAAAAACCUGUGGUAGGAACAACUUGCCUGGUCUGGAAAAGCUUCCCAAAGCAAGUGGUGGCAAAAGCAGGAAGAUGGGAAGAAGAGAGGAGUAUUUGGGCCAUGGUUGGUACUUUAGCUUGAAGCACUCGUGCCAGACUUCACACUGCCCCAGCUUCAGAGUUGAAGUCUAAGUAGAAACAAUGCAUUUACUGUCAGUGGGUUGCCUCCUAAAAGUUGUGGAUAACUGUGAUAGUGUCUUAAAUAAUCUUUAAACUCAGUUUGAUGUCCCUGAAAAUUAUAAGACUCUCUUUUUUAUUACUGUAGUUAGGCACCCAAAUUGAGAGGCAGUUAAGGUACUUGAAGUCGGACAAGUUUUGCUGGUAUUUAGUAAACAAAGGGCAGGAAUUGUCAGCGUUGUUUAAACCCAGAUGUUUGACUUGCCUGUCCUAUUGACUCCCUGGGGAGAAGGCUAUCUCUUUGUUACCACUUCCUGGUAUUCCGCCUAUUCCCAGUUCAUCCAGGGUUCAGCACACAUGCUCAAGGGCACCCCCUGUCCCUCGUGUGUAGAUGUGCUUUUCCUCUCGCCCUCCUGUGGCAGUCUGCCCAGCACGAGCAGUCCCACACAUUGGAUAAGAGCCUUUGCUUCAGAGUUGAAGUCCAUGAGUUCAGUCCAGUCAGCUGCAGGGCUGGGGCUGUGGCUCAGUGGUAGAGUGCUUGCCUCGCAUGUGUGAGGCACUGGGUUCCAUCCUCAGCACCACAUAAAAAAAUAAUAAGUA
Sciurus carolinensis (gray squirrel) is the source of this 1114-nucleotide long non-coding RNA. RefSeq lists it as uncharacterized. NCBI's taxonomy places the organism in Eukaryota, Metazoa, Chordata, Mammalia, Rodentia, Sciuridae. The transcript has 5 exons. The record is from RefSeq and is a predicted model, not a curated record.